GAACGCUGGCGGCAGGCCUAACACAUGCAAGUCGAGCGGUAGAGAGGUGCUUGCAUCUCUUGAGAGCGGCGGACGGGUGAGUAAUGCCUAGGAAUCUGCCUGGUGUGGGGGAUAACGUUCGGAAACGGACGCUAAUACCGCAUACGUCCUACGGGAGAAAGCGGGGGAUCUUCGGACCUCGCGCCAUUAGAUGAGCCUAGGUCGGAUUAGCUAGUUGGUGAGGUAAUGGCUCACCAAGGCGACGAUCCGUAACUGGUCUGAGAGGAUGAUCAGUCACACUGGAACUGAGACACGGUCCAGACUCCUACGGGAGGCAGCAGUGGGAAUAUUGGACAAUGGGCGAAAGCCUGAUCCAGCCAUGCCGCGUGUGUGAAGAAGGUCUUCGGAUUGUAAAGCACUUAAGUUGGGAGGAAGGGCAGUUACCUAAUACGUAUCUGUUUUGACGUUACCGACAGAAUAAGCACCGGCUAACUCUGUG
RNAcentral lists this ribosomal RNA (478 nucleotides) under uncultured bacterium. Its description in RNAcentral is "bacterial SSU rRNA". It matches the Rfam family "Bacterial small subunit ribosomal RNA", at positions 31 to 507 of the family's 1533-position model. The record is from RNAcentral.